Molecule: ribosomal RNA, 497 nt
Filed under: uncultured bacterium
Lineage: Bacteria
Description: partial 16S ribosomal RNA
Rfam family: Bacterial small subunit ribosomal RNA
Source: RNAcentral
GAUGAACGCUGGCGGCGUGCCUAAUACAUGCAAGUCGAGCGAACAGACGAGGAGCUUGCUCCUCUGACGUUAGCGGCGGACGGGUGAGUAACACGUGGAUAACCUACCUAUAAGACUGGGAUCACUUCGGGAAACCGGAGCUAAUACCGGAUAAUAUAUUGAACCGCAUGGUUCAAUAGUGAAAGACGGUUUUGCUGUCACUUAUAGAUGGAUCCCGGCCGCAUUAGCUAGUUGGUAAGGUAACGGCUUACCAAGGCAACGAUGCGUAGCCGACCUGAGAGGGUGAUCAGCCACACUGGAACUGAGACACGGUCCAGACUCCUACGGGAGGCAGCAGUAGGGAAUAUUGCGCAAUGGGCGAAAGCCUGACGGAGCAACGCCGCGUGAGUGAUGAAGGUCUUCGGAUCGUAAAACUCUGUUAUUAGGGAAGAACAAAUGUGUAAGUAACUAUGCACGUCUUGACGGUACCUAAUCAGAAAGCCACGGCUAACUACGUG